AAAAACAUACAGAUUAGCUGCUACAUAUUAGCUAUUCAGCCUAUAGCAAGUUCUAUAAAAAUGUUCUAAAUUCCUUAAUAUUUAAAAUAGGAAAAAAAAAAAAACCUAAAGUCUUUUUUUAAAACCUGCUGGACAUAGUGGUGUGUCCCUGUAAUCCCAGCUACUUGGGAGUCUGAGGCAGGAGAAUUUCUUGGGUCCAGGAGUUCUGGGCUGUAGUGAGCUAUGUGGCUGAGGUGUCUGCACUAAGUUUGGCAUUAACACAGUGACCUCCAGCAGCAGAGGACCAGCAGGCUGCCUAAGGAGGGAUGAACCAUUUAAGGAUGAAAAUAGAGCAAGUCAAACUCCUGUGCUAAUCAGUAGUGGGAUUAUGCAUGCGAAUAGCCACCACACUCCAGCCUGGGCAACAGAGAGAGACUCAAUCUCCUAAAAAUAAAAAUAAUAAAUAAAUAAAUAAGAGUUAAUAUUAGUGUCCUCAUCAGUCUAAUGAGAGAAUUAAUAUUCUACAAAUCGCUCAUCAUGACGCCUGAUAACUAAUCAUGACCACCGCUCCCAUCCCCCAACUGCUAGUCAUUAUCACAUUCAAGAAGGUCUCAACAAAGGCCUCAGAAGCCACAGUGAUCCUCUCCUUACAGCCCGGUCUUUGGCCUUUUCGACUCUAAAGACUCGAACCUCCAAUCUCUUUCAGUUUCAGAGGUCCAACUUUGACCCUUGUGAGGCAGACACUAAAGAUUUAAGAAAGAGAAUUACUAAGAGGCAAUCAGGUUAAGUAAUGAAAAGGACACUGUUUAUAGUCAGCAGACGUGCAUUUGAAAUACUGGCUUUGCAAAUUAAAGCCAGUUGCCUUAGACAACGUUUAGGUUUUUAUGUCCCAGUUUCCUCAACUGUACAAUGGUGGUAAGUUUGCUUCAAUAAGUUGUAAGAAUUAAGUCAGAUAUUUAUAUAUAGUAUGCAUCAGGCAUUAAGAAUAUGGUAGCUAGGAUAUUGCUGAUGGACUUGAUGACACAGGAGUGUUGGGGAAACAUAAUUAAAAAGAAAAUGUCCUCUCAAACCAGAAACCCUCUCCACAAAGGU
Molecule: long non-coding RNA, 1071 nt
Filed under: Homo sapiens (human)
Lineage: Eukaryota; Metazoa; Chordata; Mammalia; Primates; Hominidae
Description: HSALNT0253021
Rfam family: Metazoan signal recognition particle RNA (bases 128-425)
Source: RNAcentral